UGCAUCCUUCGGGGCAGGGUGAAAAUCCCGACCGGCGGUGAUGGGGCAAUUUGGCCCCUCAGCCCGUGACCCGCACGCGUGCGGUGGAUUCGGUGAAAUUCCGGAGCCGACAGUAUAGUCUGGAUGGGAGAAGGAUGAA
This 139-nucleotide non-coding RNA is filed under the name Thermoactinomyces vulgaris. RNAcentral's name for it is "FMN sequence". It matches the Rfam family "FMN riboswitch aptamer (RFN element)". Rfam says of the family: The RFN element is a highly conserved domain that is found frequently in the 5'-untranslated regions of prokaryotic mRNAs that encode for flavin mononucleotide (FMN) biosynthesis and transport proteins. The record is from RNAcentral. Lineage: Bacteria; Bacillati; Bacillota; Bacilli; Caryophanales; Thermoactinomycetaceae.